AGUUCAGAUCGCAGUCUGCAACUCGACUGCGUGAAGUCGGAAUCGCUAGUAAUCGCGGAUCAGCAUGCCGCGGUGAAUACGUUCCCGGGCCUUGUACACACCGCCCGUCACACCAUGAGAGUUGGGAAUACCCGAAGCCUGUGAGCUAACGAAAGAGGCAGCAGUCGAAGGUAGAAUCAAUGAUUGGGGUGAAGUCGUAACAAGGUAUC
This 209-nucleotide ribosomal RNA is filed under the name uncultured bacterium. Its description in RNAcentral is "partial 16S ribosomal RNA". It matches the Rfam family "Bacterial small subunit ribosomal RNA", at positions 1290 to 1500 of the family's 1533-position model. The record is from RNAcentral.